AUGGGAGAAGUUGCAUACAAGCUGGAACUGCCAGAAGGGUUGUCAGGAGUUCAUGAUGUGUUUCACAUUUCCCAGUUGAAGAAGUGCCACGCGGAGAUGGCCGAUAUUCCUCUGAGAGAUACAGUGCCAUUGGAAGCGAUUCAGUUAGACAGUGAUUUGACUUAUGAGGAGAAGCCAGUCAAGAUUCUUGAGUUUUCUAGCCGAGUUACUCGCAACAAGGUUAUCAAGUUUUGCAAAGUUCAGUGGAGCCACCAUACCGAGGAGGAAGCCACCUGGGAGCGAGAGGAAGACCUUCGUAGAGACCACCCAAACCUUUUUGAUGACCAUCCUGAAUCUCGAGGGCGAGAUUCAUCUUAA
This 357-nucleotide ribosomal RNA is filed under the name Triticum aestivum (bread wheat). RNAcentral's name for it is "partial small subunit ribosomal RNA". The record is from RNAcentral. Lineage: Eukaryota; Viridiplantae; Streptophyta; Magnoliopsida; Poales; Poaceae.